GGGAAUUUUCCGCAAUGGGCGAAAGCCUGACGGAGCAAUGCCGCGUGGAGGUGGAAGGCCUACGGGUCGUCAACUUCUUUUCUCGGAGAAGAAACAAUGACGGUAUCUGAGGAAUAAGCAUCGGCUAACUCUGUGCCCG
Molecule: ribosomal RNA, 139 nt
Filed under: uncultured bacterium
Lineage: Bacteria
Description: partial 16S rRNA
Rfam family: Bacterial small subunit ribosomal RNA
Source: RNAcentral